UUGCGCAAGGCAUGCUUCAACACCACGGCCCUGAACCGCAAACCCUUGAGCCGCGCCGUGCGGAUAUAUUGGGCCGUCAUCACCUCGACCAUCGAGGCACGUGUCAUGCGCGCGAUAUAGCCCAUGCCGUAAAUCGCCAGCGUCAUCACCGGCAGGGUGAAAUUGACGAAAGUUAUGCCUCUGGA
RNAcentral lists this non-coding RNA (185 nucleotides) under Manganibacter manganicus. Its description in RNAcentral is "Pseudaminobacter manganicus Ruegeria cis52 sRNA". It matches the Rfam family "Ruegeria cis52 sRNA". Rfam says of the family: Cis-encoded. Targets oligo/dipeptide ABC transporter. Lineage: Bacteria; Pseudomonadati; Pseudomonadota; Alphaproteobacteria; Hyphomicrobiales; Phyllobacteriaceae. The record is from Rfam by way of RNAcentral.